ACCUGUUUAACGACUCUACUCGAAACACGGCGAAGACGCCCUUAGCAACAAACCAGACAAUCACACUCAACAACAAAAAAUAUAGGAGCUCCUGCUGUUGACAAGACUGGUUAAAACAUAAGUCGUUUUUAAAACGGCGCUAACGCACUGAGGACAUAUAAUAUCACCCGAAAGAGAUCUCCGAAUUCAGCGAGAACGGAGGGCUUUUGCCCAGAGUUGAGGUAACGUUAGCUAGCUAGCUAACCGACGAUAACCCGUCUCAAGAGAAAACAGCUUCCCAAGCAUUCCGGAAGAAGGACGAAUCCUGGUCCGAUCGAAGCAAGAAACUCACUAGUUACAUUGCUAACUAAUCAGUCAACGCAAAUAAACUCGAGAUUUUUUUCCUUUGGGAAUGGUUCUCUGUGUGGAUAUAGUAAUCAACCGACAGAGAAAGACGAGGGCCACACGGGUCAGACAGCUAAGCUGUCAUUUUGGGACUCCAACUAUUUUGGACAGCGGGAGUAAUUUAACGUUUGCUCAGUCGGACGUGUGUUUUUGUGGCUGUGCUAACGUUAGCUGACGGAAACGAGAAACGACCCCCAUCGCUGGAACUUUUUCCAGACUGCAGGGCUAGCGAGUUGGCAAAGCCAUGGUUUUUAGGACGAGAGCAAGGUCCGAUUGUGUAGGUAGAGAGUCCUAGCUAGAAUAUUAAAGUUGAGCAAGUGAGCAAAGCUAUAUUAAAACCAACUUAUGUAGCUAUAUUUCAUCCAACGAAGUUGGCUAGCAGGGGAUAUUUUUGGAUCACUUGAACUAGCUACACGAGCACGAAUUGCAAGUGAUACAAGCUGCCCUCUUAAGUAUUUUAUUAUAACUAGCCAAGUGUUGGCAAAUUUUUAUUUUUAUUUUUUAUACGGUUGUUUUUACAAAAGAUUUUUAACUUCCACCUCGGAUGCUGGCUUCAACGUUAAACUGCAAUCAUGAUGGUAUUACAAAGAAAAGCAGAAGACCCCAUAACAGCAGGUACCAGUUAAGAAGUACCCGAUCUGCCAGGGCACCAAGGGCUUCUGCCAGGGCACCAAGGGCUUCUGCCAGGGCACCAAGGGCUUCUGCCAGGGCUGCAAGGGCUUCUGCCAGGGCACCAAGGGCUUCUGCCAGGGCACCAAGGGCUUCUGCCAGGGCACCAAGGGCUUCUGCCAGGGCUGCAAGGCCAUUAACUAAAAUUGCUAAGUAAAUUGAUUUGAAAACUGAAAAAUUGUAGGAAUUCUGUGAAGAAAAACAAAAGUGUAUGUAAAUGUACAUAAGUAAUUAGCCUUUAUGUUGAUGUGUAGGUGAUAGCCGAUGCCUAUUGGCUACAUACAGCCUGUCAUGUCCAGACCGAUGCUGAUAUAAGGGAGGAGACUGAAAAUGAGCCAAACUUUCUUGAGACUGAUUCCAUUGGUUACUACGUGAUUCCAUAUGUGUUAUUUUAUAGUUUUGAUAUCGUCACUAUUAUUCUACAAUGUAGUAAAAUAAAGAAAUCAGUAGGUGUGCCCAAACUUUUGACUGGUACUGUAUAUUCUAUACAUGU
This 1546-nucleotide long non-coding RNA is filed under the name Salmo salar (Atlantic salmon). Its description in RNAcentral is "lncRNA (ENSSSAG00000087110.1)". The record is from RNAcentral. Lineage: Eukaryota; Metazoa; Chordata; Actinopteri; Salmoniformes; Salmonidae.